UGGUGUUAUUAACUCCUAGCCUUUUUACCUAAGUUUGUGAACUUAACAUUUAAAUAGGGUAUUAAGGCCGUGGCAUUUAUCAGCCACCAGGGUGCAAGGUAGAAAUGCCUGCAUCUCCCGUAUUUGGAAAGGCGUUAUUAUGACUCAACU
RNAcentral lists this non-coding RNA (150 nucleotides) under Arsenophonus endosymbiont of Trialeurodes vaporariorum. RNAcentral describes it as "MOCO_RNA_motif". It matches the Rfam family "Molybdenum/Tungsten riboswitch aptamer (Moco RNA motif)". Lineage: Bacteria; Pseudomonadati; Pseudomonadota; Gammaproteobacteria; Enterobacterales; Morganellaceae. The record is from RNAcentral.